Molecule: ribosomal RNA, 520 nt
Filed under: uncultured bacterium
Lineage: Bacteria
Description: bacterial SSU rRNA
Rfam family: Bacterial small subunit ribosomal RNA
Source: RNAcentral
CUUGGUUCAGGAUGAACGCUGGCGGCGUGCUUAAUACAUGCAAGUCGAACGAAGCACUUUCAGCAGAUCCCUUCGGGGUGAAGCCGGUUGUGACUUAGUGGCGGACGGGUGAGUAACGCGUGGGUAACCUGCCUUAUACAGGGGGAUAACAGCUGGAAACGACUGCUAAUACCCCAUAAGCGCACGGCACCGCAUGAUGCAGUGUGAAAAAGAUUUUAUCGGUAUAAGAUGGACCCGCGUCUGAUUAGUUAGUUGGCGGGGUAACGGCCCACCAAGACCGCGAUCAGUAGCCGACUUGAGAGAGUGAUCGGCCACAUUGGGACUGAGACACGGCCCAGACUCCUACGGGAGGCAGCAGUAGGGAAUAUUGCACAAUGGGGGAAACCCUGAUGCAGCGACGCCGCGUGAAGUGAUUGAAGUAUUUCGGUAUGUAAAGCUCUAUCAGCAGGGAAGAAAGGCCCGAAAGGGAGAUGACGGUACCUGACUAAGAAGCCCCGGCUAACUACGUGCCAGCAGCUGC